Molecule: ribosomal RNA, 444 nt
Filed under: uncultured bacterium
Lineage: Bacteria
Description: bacterial SSU rRNA
Rfam family: Bacterial small subunit ribosomal RNA
Source: RNAcentral
UCCUACGGGAGGCAGCAGUCGGGAAUUUUGCCCAAUGGACGAAAGUCUGAGGCAGCAACUCCGCGUGAGGGAUGAAGGCUCUCGGGUCGUAAACCUCUUUUCUCAGGGAAGAUUCAAGACGGUACCUGAGGAAUAAGCCACGGCUAACUACGUGCCAGCAGCCGCGGUAAUACGUAGGUGGCGAGCGUUGUCCGGAUUUACUGGGCGUAAAGAGCGCGCAGGCGGCUGGUCAAGUCCGAUGUGAAAGCUCCCGGCUUAACUGGGAAAACGCAUCGGAAACUGAUCGGCUUGAAGGUGGGAGAGGGUAGCGGAAUUCCCGGUGUAGUGGUGAAAUGCGUAGAUAUCGGGAGGAACACCAGUGGCGAAGGCGGCUACCUGGCCCAUUCUUGACGCUGAGGCGCGAAAGCUAGGGGAGCAAACGGGAUUAGAUACCCCCGUAGUCCC